AACGAACGCUGGCGGCAUGCCUAACACAUGCAAGUCGAACGAUUGCCUUCGGGUGAUAGUGGCGCACGGGUGCGUAACGCGUGGGAAUCUGCCCUUAGGUUCGGAAUAACAGCUGGAAACGGCUGCUAAUACCGGAUGAUAUCGCGAGAUCAAAGAUUUAUCGCCUGAGGAUGAGCCCGCGUUGGAUUAGGUAGUUGGUGGGGUAAAGGCCUACCAAGCCGACGAUCCAUAGCUGGUCUGAGAGGAUGAUCAGCCACACUGGGACUGAGACACGGCCCAGACUCCUACGGGAGGCAGCAGUGGGGAAUAUUGGACAGUGGGCGCAAGCCUGAUCCAGCAAUGCCGCGUGAGUGAUGAAGGUCCUAGGGUUGUAAAGCUCUUUUACCCGGGAAGAUAAUGACUGUACCGGGAGAAUAAGCCCCGGCUAACUCCGUG
This 435-nucleotide ribosomal RNA is filed under the name uncultured bacterium. RNAcentral's name for it is "partial 16S ribosomal RNA". It matches the Rfam family "Bacterial small subunit ribosomal RNA", at positions 29 to 507 of the family's 1533-position model. The record is from RNAcentral.